This is a long non-coding RNA of Micropterus salmoides (largemouth bass), 1101 nucleotides long. RefSeq lists it as uncharacterized. The record is from RefSeq and is a predicted model, not a curated record. The transcript has 2 exons. NCBI's taxonomy places the organism in Eukaryota, Metazoa, Chordata, Actinopteri, Centrarchiformes, Centrarchidae.
AAUGCUAAUGCUAGUAAUGCUAAUGCUAUUAAAAUAGCCACAUGUAGUCUGAUAUUAUCACUCAGUAUGUUGUUCUUGUAUGUUUAAUGUAUGUCAAACCUUUGGAGCUGUUAGAGUAAACCAGUGUUUAACAGAAUUUUAGAUAUGUAGGCCAAGAUGGAGGCAAAUGAAUGCUCUUUUUGCUUUUGAACAUUAUUAGCUUUGGCUGUGACUGAAAUCUCCACAAGAUGAAGAAGUUGCAUUCAUAUAUGGCUUUUUAACACAGAUGCAGGACUAAAAUGUAAGAUACUGUAUAUAUCUAAAAUACUUUAGCUCAAGGCCUAUGGGUGAAAGUGAAAGUUUAUAUUUGCCUGUGCAUAAAAGCUCCUCCUGUCAUGUGUUUCUCAGUGGAUAAGACUCACUUGGUUUAGUCUAUUUAAGAAUGUCUUACCUUUAAGUAUGUCAGAAUAGGGGAACUCCACUGGUUUUACACAUCAAAGUCUGUUUUCAUUGGGGAGUUCUGCUGCAUGUGAAAAAAGCUGUUGCGCACAGUUUAAAGCCUUUUGUGGCUCUAGAGGUAACCGUGCAAAAUCUGAUAAACUGCCUCAAGUGAUGUCACUUGACUUGCUGGGCCUGGCAACAAAAACUUUAAAAAUGUAAAAAUUCUGAAAUGAUCUUUCCAGACCUCUGUAAAAACCUUGUCCUGUAAGUUUCCCCACAGAUAGUGUUUGGUAAACUGCACCGUACAAUCAUGGCAUUUAUUGUCUCCGUCCCACUCCCCGGCAUGUAAUUAGGUGCACAAGACCACUUAGGUGGAACCACAAUCAUAUGAAAUAAUACAUAUAUACAUAAAACCAACACCAUAUGAAAAUAGCAGACAUAACUCAUAAUAAUCACAUAAAUCAGCAUUGUUUGUGUCUCUAUUACUCCCAUCAUCUAAAUGGUUUGCUCCUGGAGCUCUUAAACAGGUGCUUGGGUCUGCUUUAAACAUUUGCCUCCACUCCCUGCUGAAUAGACAACAGGAAGAGGCAGGAUGGCCCUUUGCUUCUUCAUCCCGCUCUGGAACCAAAGAAAUUUACCAAUUGUUGAACUAACUCAAUAAAGACUCAAAAUCAAUGUGUA